Molecule: ribosomal RNA, 504 nt
Filed under: Escherichia coli
Lineage: Bacteria; Pseudomonadati; Pseudomonadota; Gammaproteobacteria; Enterobacterales; Enterobacteriaceae
Description: bacterial SSU rRNA
Rfam family: Bacterial small subunit ribosomal RNA
Source: RNAcentral
GAUGUGCCCAGAUGGGAUUAGCUAGUAGGUGGGGUAACGGCUCACCUAGGCGACGAUCCCUAGCUGGUCUGAGAGGAUGACCAGCCACACUGGAACUGAGACACGGUCCAGACUCCUACGGGAGGCAGCAGUGGGGAAUAUUGCACAAUGGGCGCAAGCCUGAUGCAGCCAUGCCGCGUGUAUGAAGAAGGCCUUCGGGUUGUAAAGUACUUUCAGCGGGGAGGAAGGGAGUAAAGUUAAUACCUUUGCUCAUUGACGUUACCCGCAGAAGAAGCACCGGCUAACUCCGUGCCAGCAGCCGCGGUAAUACGGAGGGUGCAAGCGUUAAUCGGAAUUACUGGGCGUAAAGCGCACGCAGGCGGUUUGUUAAGUCAGAUGUGAAAUCCCCGGGCUCAACCUGGGAACUGCAUCUGAUACUGGCAAGCUUGAGUCUCGUAGAGGGGGGUAGAAUUCCAGGUGUAGCGGUGAAAUGCGUAGAGAUCUGGAGGAAUACCGGUGGCGAAG